Molecule: long non-coding RNA, 143 nt
Organism: Cucurbita maxima (winter squash)
Lineage: Eukaryota; Viridiplantae; Streptophyta; Magnoliopsida; Cucurbitales; Cucurbitaceae
Exons: 3
Source: RefSeq, a predicted model, not a curated record
AUCAGUCAAAAGCAGAUAUCGCCCACCCAUGCUCCCCAAGUCCGCUUACCGAGGAAGAACUGGAGCCAGAGCUAGUUGGGUUGGGGUAAAGAGCCGUAAGCGCAGUGGGGGGUGACAGAGGACAUGCUCUUUAUUCGAGGACG